CGAAGGGGGCUAGCGUUGCUCGGAAUCACUGGGCGUAAAGGGUGCGUAGGCGGGUCUUUAAGUCAGAGGUGAAAUCCUGGAGCUCAACUCCAGAACUGCCUUUGAUACUGAGGGUCUUGAGUUCGGAAGAGGUGAGUGGAACUGCGAGUGUAGAGGUGAAAUUCGUAGAUAUUCGCAAGAACACCAGUGGCGAAGGCGGCUCACUGGUCCGAUACUGACGCUGAGGCACGAAAGCGUGGGGAGCAAACAGGAUUAGAUACCCUGGUAGUCCACGCCGUAAACGGUGAGUGCCAGCCGUUGGAGGGUUUACUCUCCAGUGGCGCAGCUAACGCUUUAAGCAUUCCGCCUGGGGAGUACGGUCACAAGAUUA
Molecule: ribosomal RNA, 370 nt
Filed under: uncultured organism
Description: bacterial SSU rRNA
Rfam family: Bacterial small subunit ribosomal RNA
Source: RNAcentral